GCUGGGUGUGUUGGCACAUGCCUGUAAUCCCAGCUACCUGGGAGGCUGAGGCAGGAGGAUCGCUUGAACCCGGGAGGCAGAGUUUGCAGUGAGUUGAGACCCAGUCACUGCACUCCAGCCUGGGUGACAGAGUGACACUCUGUCUCAA
RNAcentral lists this small RNA (148 nucleotides) under Papio anubis (olive baboon). Its description in RNAcentral is "Metazoan signal recognition particle RNA (ENSPANG00000047117.1)". The record is from Rfam by way of RNAcentral. Lineage: Eukaryota; Metazoa; Chordata; Mammalia; Primates; Cercopithecidae.